Molecule: long non-coding RNA, 5608 nt
Organism: Gallus gallus (chicken)
Lineage: Eukaryota; Metazoa; Chordata; Aves; Galliformes; Phasianidae
Exons: 3
Source: RefSeq, a predicted model, not a curated record
CCCGUCUGCCGGUGCCUGGACACGACACGGCUGCACCUUUGCUGGGCACAAGAAAGGACCAAAACAGCCGAACAAAGGAAAUUUGUACAUCUAAACAGUGACUGCUGAAGACAGAAAGAACCAUGUGAGUACGUCUGAGAGCCAGUGUAAAAAGUCUGUGACCACACUAAGAGAAAAUUAUACCUCUUACUCCCCAAAGCAUUUAGGAGCUGGCUCACAAAUAUUCAUGGAUUUUACUGUCUUCUCUGCAAUAACACUAAGUCUACAUUUGCUUCUGAAACAUAUUCUAGAUGUGUAGCAUGGAGGUUAAAUCUUAACUGAGAUCUUUCAUGAUGUAACUGUUCCCUUUCUCAUUUACGCCUUGAAUAAGUGUUGAUAAAUGUUCACAUUUGCAGUAAAAUUCAGAAGCUAAGAGGGUUUCAUCUUGGCUUUGCAGUGACCAUAUGUGAUCAGGGACUAUUAAUAUUGAUCAUCACAAUAUAAUUCAAAGAGCAAAACUCAGGGAUGUUAAAGCCUUGGGGAAAAUUGUUGUAAUUUACUGUUAUGGGGAAAACUUUAUGGCUAGCUUUUGGGUUAAGAAUCCCUGAGAGUUUUCUGCAGGAAAGUUUUAUUAAGGAUGUGCCAAGUUAAAUACAGCUAUACAACACCAUCUGCUUACAUAUAUAGAUAUGUAUAUAUUUAUGUAUCUGCAAAAUCAAAUCCCUGCUUAUGUUACGUGAGAUUUUAGACUACGUAUGGGGAAUAAUCUUGAAAAUAUGGUAAUUCUUUGUAUCAGUUCUCUUAUUUCUAGUAUUCUUUAGCUUGUUCAUCUCAACCAAGUGCUUUCUGCUCCCUGAAAAAGUCCCCAAAGCCCAGACCAGAAGGACCAGCCAGAAUCGCUGGGACGACUCGCUCCCGCCACAUCGUUCCUUAGGCUGACACCGGUCUGCUUUGUGGUGCAAUGCAACUUCUCAGGGCACUAAACCAGACCUUCUGGGGUCCUUCGUGUUUUUUUCUGUCUCAACCUUGUGUUAGAAUUUUUUUUCUUCACAGAACCACAGAAAAUGGUGAGCUUGGGGAUAGCAGUACAGCUGGAUCGGUUUUCAUCAUGCAGAGCGCUGCCAGCAGGUUACAGUGAGCUGAGCCUGGGAGGGCUGGGUGCCCGCAGGGGCACUUCGAGAAUGAAAAGCGCGUGGAUAAUCCAGGCGGUGAUUGCUUCCUUCCUCCGGCUUUCGGUGGAAUGUCGAGCUGUGUCCCAGCGAGAGCCACUCGAGCACAAGGUAAAAACCCGCACAAAGCAGGAUCACAUGAAGGAGGAUGGGGAAACCAGCCAGGCCCUCAACAAUGAAAUUCCGAAUAACGUCCUUGAGGCGGUUUUACUAUUGUGAGCACUGCCACGGACCCACAUGCAGCUGCAGGAAACAUGGAUUUUGGUUUGUUUCUCAUCCCAUGGAUUGGCGUCCAGGCCCCGCAACCAGCAAGUAUGAUCUCUUACUGAAUAGGAGCAGAGCCGCAGGAGAGGAAAGAUUAAGGGUAUCAAAGGAAUACAUUUUUCAUUUCACUCCUUUCUUAUUACAGUAGAUUAAAAGGAGAAAAAAAAGAGUUUUGUUCAACAUUCAAUUUUGCAGAGAAUUAAAUAAGCCAAAAACAUUGUUCAGAAUUAGAGCACUGAAUAAAGGAUUUCAAAAACACAGUGUGUGGUUCGUGGUGGGAUUUUUAUUUCCUUUUAAGACAAGCCAUAUACAGCUGUACCAGAGCUAUUGUCCUUCGUCCCGCCGAAGAAAUAGUUUCUUUCUAAAGUGUUCAAUCCACUGAGACACGGAGGUGCUUUGAAAACUCAAAAAAGAAGAAGGAAGCCACUCAAACUCUCUUCUGGUUCAAAUGGCAAUUAUCUGAAAAGCAGCAAAGAGUCAGGAAUACAUGGAUAACUUAAGCAGCUUUUGAUCGCCUGGCUAUGAACCAUAGUGGGAUUUUUGUCUGCUUUGGGAGUGAUACCCAGCAGCAAUCAGUGUGCACAGGCAAGAUGGAAGUCAGACCUAAAGGAGUGGUGUGAGGGCACUGAUCUCUCUCAGCACAGAUGGCCAUUACAAGCCUGCACAGGAGAAGCCACUUUCAUCUCUCGUCAAUGGAGAGAUACUCCUUGCUGUUGAACCUCAAGGGGCCACAAUUUGAAGAAACAGAAAAAAACUUAAAAAUGUUCCAAUUUCUGUGGGUCAGGAGAGUCUCUCUUCCUUCUCUUCUACAGGGACUGUCAAACAAACAGCAAGACUUCCAGCACCAUUUUCAAGCUGCACCAAGACCAACACUAGCAAAAGCAGAAGGCUAAAAGAUGGACCCUUAUUCACAAGUGUACCUUUCAGAUUCAUCAUUAUCAGUGGCAGGAGGGUUCUCAAAAUAAAAAAGACAGAAACACAACUUGGGCAAGUACAGAGGGGUCAGAAGUUCCGAUCAUUUUAGCUUCUGUAUGCUGCAGUCUCUCAUUCUCCAGUGAAUUCCAUGCUCCAGGCAGAGCUGGGGAGGGGCUUGUGUCGUGGGGAGCCUGGAAGGCUUCAGGAGCUGAUUCUGACUGUGCUGAGCUGGGAGUGCGGAUGAAAGCAAGUCACAGGACCUCGGUGUUGACAUCUCCAGUGCAACAAUUCCAGUGACUCAAAUUACCAAAUUGCAGCCCAACUGAGUGUUAACCAGAAUACCAGGGGACUCUGGCCAGUGGUUGGUAGAAGAAAGGCAUCAGACAUCUUCCUUUUGAUUUCUGUGAAGUUGGCUGCCUCAUGGCUCUGGCAUGGAUGGAGGAAGAAACAAAGAGCCAACCAAAAAAACCCAAACCUGUAACUUUUUUUUUUUUUCUAAGAGAAUAUGACUUGGAAAAGUGUGAAGACAGGGCUAUCUUUCCUCACAAUAAUGUUCUUUGGAAGGGAAGUUCUCAUGACAUAAGCUUAGGUACACAUGGGAAACCUGACUCGAGCCUUAAAGCUGUGCAGUAAAUGGAGGUGCUGCGGCCGCAGGAAGUGUGUGAAAGGGAGGUUUUUGGAUCACUUUCAGAGAUUUUAGGCCAAAUGAGCCCAUAGUGCCAGGGCAUAAUAUGACUGAAAAUAGUUUCGUUAAUAACACAGCUUGAGCAGCUGGAAGAGCUAAGGGCCGACCACAAAAAUCUCAUCAGUGCUAGUGAGUCCAGGGCAGCUGAAAUUCAAGCUCAGAGCCAUUUCAAAUCGUUAUACAGCUGGCUAAAAAAUAAUCUCCCACAUAACAAGAGUUUGGGAAUUUGGGAAUGGAUGAACUUCAGUUUGAGUUCCCGAAUUCCCCGUACAAUUUUGUCGUUGUUUAUAAUGAUGGCUCCGGCAAUCUUCAGGCUGCCAGCAAAUCCGGUUUUAGAGAGUACGAGCGGACACAGGUCAGCCAGAGUGGGCUGACCAUGCACCCAGCACAGCCUCCUGCAGGACAGGAGGCUCACGUCUGGCUGUGACAGAGCAAUGACAAAAACCAUCCUCAGGAAGUGCGGUGCCUUAUGUACACAAGCUGGCCGAGGGGCCCUCUGCCCAUAACCACUUGUUCAUACGCCUAUAGAAGAUGCAGCAUUGGAAGAAGACCUAAGAAGGUGUCAGAGGGAAACCUGGCAACCAGGAAUAGAGAAUAAACUCCUGAUCAAGUUACUCAGCGGAAGCAUGGACCUUGUUCCAUCAGCUGAGACCUCUACUUGAUUGUUUGCAGGCAGGGAGCAAGCAGCAAAGCCCGAUGGCUUUGGAGAUGCCAAACUCAGCAGUGGGACUCAGAGCUGUGGGAGGUGUUGGCAGUCCCUGCCCUGCACCAGGGCGGGUGGGUGUCCCAGCAGGACAGCUCUGUCCCCAGCUGCCACUGUGGCUCCUAUUGUGCAGAGAGAAGGUUCCUGGGCCCAAAGAGCUCCUCAGAGGGGCUGCAGAGGGGAUGAAAAGGAGGGAAACCCCCAGUGGGCUUUUUUUCUUUUAUCUUGCAGAUGAGCCAGAUGGCAGGAGCAGCAGAAACCAAAGGAGGAGCAUGAAGUGUUUAAGAAUCAGAUUGCUAAAAUGCAGGGAAAACUGAAGCCAAAAACUAGGCCUGGACAAAACAGAGCACCAGAGUGGAAAAACAAGAACAGGAGAAAUGUAGCCAAAAGGCAAAAGAAUAAAAUACAACAGCUCGGAUCCAUUCAAAUUCCAACUUUGUGCUUUCAGGAGAGGAGACUUAGAGAAACCAAAGAGCUGGCACCAAGUCCCCUUUGUAGCUGCAGCUGCUCACAGUUAGCGGCCCCCAAACUCCCUGCACUGCAGUGCCCAAUGCCUGCAGAUUUCUCUCAUGAUGUGAAAAAAGGGCAAAAGGCACAGAGUGACCAAUGGGUCCGCCUCACAUCUUGCACGCAGCAGCAGCAGGCUCACGCUUGGCUCAUCUCACAGGUGGGGAGGAUUGGCAGCAUUGCCACCGCCCAGGGCAGCUCCUGCCCACCCACAGCUGCUCUGCAUCAGGCCCACAGUGGUGGGGGCACACGGUGUUCCACCCGGAAGCCCUCCAUCCUCCUUCCUCCCAGGGCUUCCUGCUUUCUCUGGAGGGACACCACUGAGCUGUGUUUCAGGUGACUUUCAGAUAGGGUUGCUGUCAGGCAGGAAGACGCCUUACUACAAGAUGCUGGAACACAUCCUCUCUUCUCAAGAGGACUCUGAUUUUUCAGAGCAAAUGCCCAUAAGAGGGGUGUGACAUCAGCCACACCACCUGCAGGACAUGCCGCAGACUGAUGGGCACUGCUGCUCCAUCAGCCCUGGAGGAAGCAUUACAAACCCAGCAGCCACCCCCCAGUUUCAGUAACGAUCCCGUGACACUUUGUGGAAAAAAAAACAACAUUGUAUUUGAUUUACAAUUAACAGGAUUUACAAAUAACGACAAAGAAACAGAUUAGCCAUGAAAUUAAGAUGCUUUUGUUGAUGAAGUAGCUGGCAAAGCAGCUUUAUGUAGCAGUCAUGUACCUCAGUCCUACACAGUGUACAAUAACUUACAGCCCAGGCAAGGUCAGGAACGGUUAUACGCAAAUGCAACAAAUCGAGGACAAAAAACCCAAAACAAAAGCCCUCCCAGCCCACAGGACCAGCACUGGUGAGGCUUUCCAUUUCUGAAGCUGAUGGGAAGAUCCGCUGCCAAAUACCAGGAAGCUUUCAGAAAGGAAAAAAAUACAAAUCAGCCAACGGUAGAACUGACCUUAUGGUCUUGUGGCUGCCUGGGUCAGCUGGCUGAAGCUGGUGGUGGGCGCUGGGCAGGGCAGGGAGUGAACUCACACCAAUGGCAGCGCUUCCUUAAAAUGCUACUUCACUGCCAACGCUGGCGAGACAAAAGGGAACGAAGAACUCUGAUGUGCAAUACAGCAAUUGAAGAAGGCGUACCGAGCUUUUGGAUUUGUAUGUAGCUUACAUACGUUGUAAGCGCACACUUCUGACUAGUGAUUUUGACUGUCUUUGCUAUGGGUUGAUGGUGUUGUUUGAUCAGAUGUGGAAUUCCAAGUCUCAAAACGGAGUGGUUUUCAACACGUGGGCAUACAGGUUUUCCAAUAUUGUACUAGUAUUUUACAUCACAAAUACAAUAAAAACAAGUGAUGGUAACCCUAGGACAGUUCCAAAUAAUAAAAAAAAAUCAU